AUGCAAGUCGAGCGAAUGGAUUAAGAGCUUGCUCUUAUGAAGUUAGCGGCGGACGGGUGAGUAACACGUGGGUAACCUACCCAUAAGACUGGGAUAACUCCGGGAAACCGGGGCUAAUACCGGAUAAUAUUUUGAACUGCAUAGUUCGAAAUUGAAAGGCGGCUUCGGCUGUCACUUAUGGAUGGACCCGCGUCGCAUUAGCUAGUUGGUGAGGUAACGGCUCACCAAGGCGACGAUGCGUAGCCGACCUGAGAGGGUGAUCGGCCACACUGGGACUGAGACACGGCCCAGACUCCUACGGGAGGCAGCAGUAGGGAAUCUUCCGCAAUGGACGAAAGUCUGACGGAGCAACGCCGCGUGAGUGAUGAAGGCUUUCGGGUCGUAAAACUCUGUUGUUAGGGAAGAACAAGUGCUAGUUGAAUAAGCUGGCACCUUGACGGUACCUAACCAGAAAGCCACGGCUAACUACGUGCCAGCAGCCGCGGUAAUACGUAGGUGGCAAGCGUUAUCCGGAAUUAUUGGGCGUAAAGCGCGCGCAGGUGGUUUCUUAAGUCUGAUGUGAAAGCCCACGGCUCAACCGUGGAGGGUCAUUGGAAACUGGGAGACUUGAGUGCAGAAGAGGAAAGUGGAAUUCCAUGUGUAGCGGUGAAAUGCGUAGAGAUAUGGAGGAACACCAGUGGCGAAGGCGACUUUCUGGUCUGUAACUGACACUGAGGCGCGAAAGCGUGGGGAGCAAACAGGAUUAAAUACCCUGGUAGUCCACGCCGUAAACGAUGAGUGCUAAGUGUUAGAGGGUUUCCGCCCUUUAGUGCUGAAGUUAACGCAUUAAGCACUCCGCCUGGGGAGUACGGCCGCAAGGCUGAAACUCAAAGGAAUUGACGGGGGCCCGCACAAGCGGUGGAGCAUGUGGUUUAAUUCGAAGCAACGCGAAGAACCUUACCAGGUCUUGACAUCCUCUGAAAACUCUAGAGAUAGAGCUUCUCCUUCGGGAGCAGAGUGACAGGUGGUGCAUGGUUGUCGUCAGCUCGUGUCGUGAGAUGUUGGGUUAAGUCCCGCAACGAGCGCAACCCUUGAUCUUAGUUGCCAUCAUUAAGUUGGGCACUCUAAGGUGACUGCCGGUGACAAACCGG
Molecule: ribosomal RNA, 1130 nt
Filed under: Bacillus mycoides
Lineage: Bacteria; Bacillati; Bacillota; Bacilli; Caryophanales; Bacillaceae
Description: bacterial SSU rRNA
Rfam family: Bacterial small subunit ribosomal RNA
Source: RNAcentral